AAUAAGUUAACUGUGGACACCGAAG
Molecule: non-coding RNA, 25 nt
Filed under: Cricetulus griseus (Chinese hamster)
Lineage: Eukaryota; Metazoa; Chordata; Mammalia; Rodentia; Cricetidae
Source: RNAcentral